CCUGGCUCAGAUUGAACGCUGGCGGCAUGCUUUACACAUGCAAGUCGAACGGUAACAGGUCUUCGGAUGCUGACGAGUGGCGAACGGGUGAGUAAUGCAUCGGAACGUGCCCAGUCGUGGGGGAUAACGCAGCGAAAGCUGUGCUAAUACCGCAUACGAUCUAUGGAUGAAAGCGGGGACCUUAGGGCCUCGCGCGAUUGGAGCGGCCGAUGUCAGAUUAGCUAGUUGGUGGGGUAAAGGCCCACCAAGCCAACGAUCUGUAGCUGGUCUGAGAGGACGACCAGCCACACUGGGACUGAGACACGGCCCAGACUCCUACGGGAGGCAGCAGUGGGGAAUUUUGGACAAUGGGCGCAAGCCUGAUCCAGCAAUGCCGCGUGCAGGAAGAAGGCCUUCGGGUUGUGAACUGCUUUUGUACGGAACGAAACGGUCUGGGUUAAUACCCUGGGCUAAUGACGGUACCGUAAGAAUAAGCACCGGCUAACUACGUG
RNAcentral lists this ribosomal RNA (491 nucleotides) under uncultured bacterium. Its description in RNAcentral is "bacterial SSU rRNA". It matches the Rfam family "Bacterial small subunit ribosomal RNA", at positions 18 to 507 of the family's 1533-position model. The record is from RNAcentral.